UUGCGCCCUCUAUAGAUGAAAGACAGUACCGCCAGUUCUGAGAGUCGCACGGGGGUGCGUACAAAGGGGCCAGGGCGCCGAGAUCACGGAAACAACGGUGCUGGGACCCUGUGCACAGAAGCCAGAUGCCAGACGGGAAUUAAACAUUCGGCCGAGAAAAGCAAUCUAGUUCCCUAGGCUCGACUUUGGCUCACUCCUUGGUCCGCACCAAUCCUCACAUCCCUCACGUCCUCUAACUUUUACGGCUGUAUCCCGAAAUCGCGUCUUUGGUCUCAACGGCUCCAGAAGGCUCGCUCUUCAAGAAAUGUUCCACUACCUUCAGAUAGAUGUGGAUACAUACAUGGUUUUGGCCUAAAGAAAUCUUUGCAAAAAGGGAGAAUACAUACUUGUUCUUUUCCUUGGAUUUACGGAGUGCCAGUAUCAGGUGUGGUUCCGGGUUCCAGAUAGGGCUGUGGUGAGGUCCCUAGUCGACAACCACAAGCCCAAUUGCCUCUUCUUCUGAAACGGAGUCUAUUGAGGAGGAGUCUCUGAAAAUGACAGCUGAUGGGUGUAGAGACCCACGCCCGGAAUCUCAGCAACUGAAGUGGCUGAAGCAGGAGCAUGUAGGCAGAGCUCGUAAGCAUCUCCGGCUUCUGAUUUUGUUGCUGGUUUUCUUUCUCAUAGUUUUGGUUUUCUUUCUCAGAGGCUUUCUGGUGCACCUAGGCUGUGCCAGCUCCUUACAGCCCUCCUUCAGCGCUCCAGCUUUUUGCCUAUGCAGUCUCUGCUCCUAGCCUUUCAUAACUAAUAAACUUUAAAAUUUAUAAAUUCCGACAAAUAAAA
This is a long non-coding RNA of Mus pahari (shrew mouse), 819 nucleotides long. RefSeq lists it as uncharacterized. The transcript has 3 exons. The record is from RefSeq and is a predicted model, not a curated record. Lineage: Eukaryota; Metazoa; Chordata; Mammalia; Rodentia; Muridae.